UACGGGGGGGGUAAGCGUUGUUCGGAAUUACUGGGCGUAAAGCGCACGUAGGCGGUCCAGCAAGUCGGGUGUGAAAGCCCUCGGCUUAACCGAGGAAGUGCAUUCGAAACUACUGGACUUGAAUACUGAAGAGGAUCGCGGAAUUCCCGGUGUAGAGGUGAAAUUCGUAGAUAUCGGGAGGAACACCAGUGGCGAAGGCGACGAUCUGGGCAGAUAUUGACGCUGAGGUGCGAAAGCGUGGGGAGCAAACAGG
This 253-nucleotide ribosomal RNA is filed under the name uncultured bacterium. RNAcentral describes it as "partial 16S ribosomal RNA". It matches the Rfam family "Bacterial small subunit ribosomal RNA", at positions 524 to 776 of the family's 1533-position model. The record is from RNAcentral.